Molecule: long non-coding RNA, 295 nt
Filed under: Phasianus colchicus (ring-necked pheasant)
Lineage: Eukaryota; Metazoa; Chordata; Aves; Galliformes; Phasianidae
Description: lncRNA (ENSPCLG00000001898.1)
Source: RNAcentral
AUCGGCCUCACUGCUGAAGAUCAAUUCAGAAGUCUGAUAAGUGUGAUGAGUCUUUCCAAAGAGAUUACUUUUAUCAGCUGGAUUAACAGCUGUCAAUGGGCUGAUGAAGAUUUAACUUGUGCAAGUCCUCCUCGAGAGAAAAGAUUUCAAUAAUUGUCAAGACAUCCUACAUCAACUUUUUGAGGUCACUUCCAACCUGGACCACCCAUGAACACUGCAGAGCAGCUAUUUAAGAUAAUCUCAAUGUGCUUGGUGAGAACAACCUAAGAAAAUAAACUAGGAAAAUAAAAGGACA